Molecule: ribosomal RNA, 301 nt
Filed under: uncultured bacterium
Lineage: Bacteria
Description: partial 16S ribosomal RNA
Rfam family: Bacterial small subunit ribosomal RNA
Source: RNAcentral
CAGCCGCCGCGGGAAUACGUAGGGUGCGAGCGUUAAUCGGAAUUACUGGGCGUAAAGCGUGCGCAGGCGGUUAUGCAAGACAGAUGUGAAAUCCCCGGGCUUAACCUGGGAACUGCAUUUGUGACUGCAUGGCUAGAGUGCGGCAGAGGGGGAUGGAAUUCCGCGUGUAGCAGUGAAAUGCGUAGAUAUGCGGAGGAACACCGAUGGCGAAGGCAAUCCCCUGGGCCUGCACUGACGCUCAUGCACGAAAGCGUGGGGAGCAAACAGGAUUAGAUACCCCGGUAGUCCCUGUCUCUUAUAC